Molecule: ribosomal RNA, 442 nt
Filed under: uncultured bacterium
Lineage: Bacteria
Description: bacterial SSU rRNA
Rfam family: Bacterial small subunit ribosomal RNA
Source: RNAcentral
GGGCAGCAUGAGUAGCAAUACUUGAUGGCGACCGGCAAACGGGUGAGGAACACGUACACAACUUCCUCAAGCGGGGAAUAGCCCAGAGAAAUUUGGAUUAAUACCCAUAAUAUAUUUGAUAAGGCAUCUUAUUAAUAUUAAAGCUUCGGCACUUGAUGAUGGGUAUGCGGCUGAUUAGAUAGUUGGCGGGUAACGGCCCACCAAGUCUACGAUCAGUAGCUGAUGUGAGAGCAUGAUCAGCCACACGGGCACUGAGACACGGGCCCGACUCCUACGGGAGGCAGCAGUAAAGAAUAUUGGACAAUGGACGAAAGUCUGAUCCAGCCAUGCCGCGUGAAGGAUUAAGGUCCUCUGGAUUGUAAACUUCUUUUAUAUGGGACGAAAAAAGGGCAUUCUUGUUCACUUGACGGUACCAUAUGAAUAAGCACCGGCUAACUCCGUG